CCAAUAGCGUAUAUUUAAGUUGCUGCAGUUAAAAAGCUCGUAGUUGGAUUUCGGGUGGGAAUGGCCGGUCCGCCGUUUCGGUGUGCACUUGCUACGCCCACCUUGCUGCCGGGGACGUGCUCUUGAGUUCACGCUCGGGACACGGAGUCGGCGAGGUUACUUUGAGUAAAUUAGAGUGUUCAAAGCAGGCCUACGCUCUGGAUACAUUAGCAUGGAAUAACACGAUAGGACUCUGGCCUAUCUUGUUGGUCUGUAGGACCGGAGUAAUGAUUAAGAGGGACAGUCGGGGGCAUUCGUAUUUCAUUGUCAGAGGUGAAAUUCUUGGAUUUAUGAAAGACGAACUACUGCGAAAGCAUUUGCCAAGGAUGUUUUCAUUAA
RNAcentral lists this ribosomal RNA (378 nucleotides) under uncultured eukaryote. RNAcentral describes it as "partial 18S ribosomal RNA". It matches the Rfam family "Eukaryotic small subunit ribosomal RNA", at positions 591 to 976 of the family's 1831-position model. The record is from RNAcentral.